Molecule: long non-coding RNA, 1544 nt
Filed under: Sus scrofa (pig)
Lineage: Eukaryota; Metazoa; Chordata; Mammalia; Artiodactyla; Suidae
Description: lncRNA (ENSSSCG00000048200.2)
Source: RNAcentral
ACCAAGAGUGAUCAACUGACCCGGGCAGCCAGAAGAGAUGAUAGGGAUACAUAUUCUUAACGGUGAUAGAGUGGUUUCAUAGAACAAAAUAGGCUGUUCCUGCCCGAGGGAACAUGGACUUCAGUGGAAGAGACACUCAGAAGAGAGCUGCGAAACAAGUAAGAAUUUCAGAUUGUGCUCAGUUCUUUGAAGAAAAACACAUGGGAUAAGUGAGAGACGUGUGACUCUGGGGGCAGAGGCUGUGUGGUCAGGAGGGGGCCCGUCAGUCAAAAGGCCUUGGUUGCCAAGCCAUUGAAACUCCUUCUGCGUCAUGUUGGGCAGAUUACAAUGUAGAUGAUUCCGUAGCUGGGCUGCAGCACCGUCCCUGGAGAGCACAUGACAGGAAUGCAUGUUGGGCAGGAUGUGAAGCUGAGCCCUGGGCUGAAGCAAACUUGACCCCACCUGCGGACAGGACACUUCUGAAGCCGCUGCCUCGGCUUCCACCAGAAGCUGCAUCUCUGUGCUGCUAGAGAUGGAGAGCCCUGUCUUAGCUGGUUCAGUCGGGGCUGAGUGUUCAGCAGCUAAAGCUGCAUGUACUGUGACCUUCUGAGCCAAAGGCAGGGAAAGAUUGUUCAUUAUUAGUGUCUGGAAAUACAGUGAUUUUGGUAUGUGGUAUGUAAAGUAUUUUAAAAAAACAUAUAGUUUGAGUAAAACUGUUGGUGGUAGGCUAAAAGCUCCUUAAAAACAGGAAGCAUGACUGAAUCACUCUGGUUUCCUCCACUUUCCCAGACAGAAGAGUCACCAACGCAGCCUCCUUGCUCAGGCUGCGCUGCCCCAACUACAGUCAGGGACCCCCCCGCCUUCCCUCUGCUGGGAGGCACCAGCCACCUGUGACUAGUGUCCUGACACCUCCCAUGUCCCCAGCAGACACCUGCCACAGUUGCGUUCGGGGAGAACCCGAGCAAUUAGCCAGCAGCGCCCCCUGGCGCCUCUUUCACCGCAAGUGUUCGGCUCUCAACUUGUUCAACCACCCUCCACCCGCUCCACGGGCAACUUUUCCGGGAAGGCGCCUCCAAAGACCUCUGUGAGUAGCGUAGGCUGCUCUGCUCUGACAACCUCUUCGGGGUAAAUUUCUUUUCCAUUUGAACAGCUUCUCCUUAGUUAAGGAGAAACCGUUAUUGCCCGGUUGCUUUUUCGUCUUUUGGAUGGAGAGAAGCAGAGGAAUUCUGGGCGGAGGCCAACGAUUAGCUGCAACAUCUACUGAUCACUUCCAUGAAGUCUUUGAGCCUUUGUAUAAAUAAAACACCAGCCGGGGGCUCCUUCUGCUCCCAUUGAUGCCCGAGUGCCAACUACAGGUUUGACUCUGAGACCCUCCUUAAAAAAUUAGGAAAAAAAAUUUUUAAAACGUUUUUAAAUUGGAUUUUUAUUGCCUAAGGAGGGAUCUGUAAAAUACGUAGAGUGGGAAGAAUGCAGAUAAAUAAGACCUGAAAGUUGUCCUCAAAUAUAUCAAAGCCAUACUGGAUAGUGGACCUGCUGGAGAAUAGAAAAAUAAACUGUUGAAUGCC